UCAACGACACGCUAAUUACGGUAGCGGCCGUUCUAGUCCUAUUUGCAUGGAGUCGCGAGAGAUAGUCGUCGACGCUUUCCGAGACGUGGAUUCUAGUUGAUUGUCACCACUACAGGUUCCAGUGCGAGUAUUGUGGCCGAGGAUCGAGGCAAGAGCCAGCAGUCUAGCUAGUGGACUCCCGAGUACUAGCGGUAUACCAUUUUGAGUUCAUGUAUCAUCCAUUUUGAUGUACAGAGACAUGUAAAUGAAUGUAUAUAAAGCAUGUAUAUAACUAAAUGUUUUAGUUAUGUGAAGUUUUAAAUUACAGUGGA
This is a long non-coding RNA of Ananas comosus (pineapple), 311 nucleotides long. RefSeq lists it as uncharacterized. Lineage: Eukaryota; Viridiplantae; Streptophyta; Magnoliopsida; Poales; Bromeliaceae. The transcript is spliced from 2 exons. The record is from RefSeq and is a predicted model, not a curated record.